UUGGAGGAUUUGAAGACGUCAUCUUGCAUACUUGGAGGAUUUGAAGACUUAAACUUGCAUAUUUGGAGGAUUUGAAGAUUUCAACU
RNAcentral lists this microRNA precursor (86 nucleotides) under Solanum tuberosum (potato). RNAcentral's name for it is "MIR8024 microRNA precursor family". It matches the Rfam family "MIR8024 microRNA precursor family". The record is from Rfam by way of RNAcentral. Lineage: Eukaryota; Viridiplantae; Streptophyta; Magnoliopsida; Solanales; Solanaceae.